GAUGGCGACCGGCGCACGGGUGAGUAACACGUAUCCAACCUGCCGAUGACUCGGGGAUAGCCUUUCGAAAGAAAGAUUAAUACCCGAUGGCAUAGUUCUUCCGCAUGGUGGAACUAUUAAAGAAAUUUCGGUCAUCGAUGGGGAUGCGUUCCAUUAGGUUGUUGGCGGGGUAACGGCCCACCAAGCCUUCGAUGGAUAGGGGUUCUGAGAGGAAGGUCCCCCACAUUGGAACUGAGACACGGUCCAAACUCCUACGGGAGGCAGCAUG
Molecule: ribosomal RNA, 268 nt
Filed under: uncultured bacterium
Lineage: Bacteria
Description: partial 16S ribosomal RNA
Rfam family: Bacterial small subunit ribosomal RNA
Source: RNAcentral